Molecule: ribosomal RNA, 439 nt
Filed under: uncultured bacterium
Lineage: Bacteria
Description: partial 16S ribosomal RNA
Rfam family: Bacterial small subunit ribosomal RNA
Source: RNAcentral
CUACGGGUGGCUGCAGUGAGGAAUAUUGCACAAUGGAGGAAACUCUGAUGCAGCAACGCCGCGUGGAGGAUGACGCAUUUCGGUGUGUAAACUCCUUUUAUAUGUCAAGAAAAUGACGGUAGCAUAUGAAUAAGCACCGGCUAACUCCGUGCCAGCAGCCGCGGUAAUACGGAGGGUGCAAGCGUUACUCGGAAUCACUGGGCGUAAAGGACGCGUAGGCGGGAUAUCAAGUCAGGUGUGAAAUCCUACAGCUUAACUGUAGAACUGCACUUGAAACUGGUAACCUAGAGUAUGGGAGGGGGAGAUGGAAUUAGUGGUGUAGGGGUAAUAUCCGUAGAUAUCACUAGGAAUACCUAAAGCGAAGGCGAUCUCCUGGAACAUAACUGACGCUAAGGCGUGAAAGCGUGGGGAGCAAACAGGAUUAGAUACCCCUGUAGUC